CCGGACACCUUCGCGGGCCGCACCAGACAAAGCGACCCGGCCCCAGGCCACA
Molecule: non-coding RNA, 52 nt
Filed under: unclassified sequences
Description: RAGATH-5 RNA
Rfam family: RAGATH-5 RNA
Source: RNAcentral